This is a long non-coding RNA of Ixodes scapularis (black-legged tick), 212 nucleotides long. RefSeq lists it as uncharacterized. Lineage: Eukaryota; Metazoa; Arthropoda; Arachnida; Ixodida; Ixodidae. The record is from RefSeq and is a predicted model, not a curated record. The transcript has 3 exons.
AAAAAUGCGCACCUUGAAAUCUGCGAAGAAGCUAUGAUUGAAUGUGCUUUUAAAGAUUUUGGAUGCAACAAGAAAGCCCCAAGAAGAGAGAUGCAGGAACAUGAGAAGGACCCACACAAUGCACUGCUUAAUCAAGUGAUCCUUAUAUUAAACUGGGGACUAAAUAUUUGCCGGUGAUGACAAUGUGCAAUAAAUAUUUUGAACAAGAGGAC